AUAGUCGAAGAAUCUCAAAGAACUGUCGUAAUGAGGCACAACGAGGAGGCAUUAUUCGGAGCCACAAAAGAAGGCAAGAUGAGGGAGAAAUAUGAAACAGCAGUAGGUUGUGGCACAAGGCACAAAGACGACUGAAUCGAGAGAGAGGGAUACUUGAGUGAUGAUGGCAAACGAGAAAUGUCCUUUGGAGGCACACCCACUAGAAAUUGACAUUUAAGAGAAACAGAGGUGUGAAACAAAGGGCGUGAAGGAUUUGAUAGAGAUGAAAAUUAUUCUCGGCCCUGAUUCGCCUUGCCCAGCACCUGAUCAGUUUUUUCUGACCUUGCCCUA
Molecule: unclassified non-coding RNA, 330 nt
Filed under: Hevea brasiliensis (rubber tree)
Lineage: Eukaryota; Viridiplantae; Streptophyta; Magnoliopsida; Malpighiales; Euphorbiaceae
Source: RNAcentral